CCUACGGGAGGCAGCAGUGGGGAAUAUUGGGCAAUGGGCGCAAGCCUGACCCAGCAACGCCGCGUGAAGGAAGAAGGCUUUCGGGUUGUAAACUUCUUUUAGAAGGGACGAAGCAAGUGACGGUACCUGAUGAAUAAGCCACGUCUAACUACGGGCCAGCAGCCGCGGUAAUACGUGGGUGGCAAGCGUUAUCCGGAUUUACUUGGUUUAAAGGGCGUGUAGGCGGGAGUGGAAGUCAGAUGGGAAAACUAUGGGCUCAACCCAUAGCCUGCAGUUGAAACUGUACUUCUUGAGUGCUGGAGAGGCAAUCGGAAUUCGGGGUGUAGCGGUGAAAUGCGUAGAUAUACGGAGGAACACCAGUGGCGAAGGCAGAUUGCUGGACAGUAACUGACGCUGAGGCGCGAAAGCGUGGGGAGCAAACAGGAUUAGAUACCCUAGUAGUC
This 443-nucleotide ribosomal RNA is filed under the name uncultured bacterium. Its description in RNAcentral is "partial 16S ribosomal RNA". It matches the Rfam family "Bacterial small subunit ribosomal RNA", at positions 338 to 795 of the family's 1533-position model. The record is from RNAcentral.